Molecule: long non-coding RNA, 194 nt
Organism: Ixodes scapularis (black-legged tick)
Lineage: Eukaryota; Metazoa; Arthropoda; Arachnida; Ixodida; Ixodidae
Exons: 3
Source: RefSeq, a predicted model, not a curated record
UAGCGGCGUGUCAGCGUGUGGAUAACAGACGCGCAACUCUGACUCCCGUAGAGAGCCUAUGCAGGAACUCUAGGACAGCAUUCACCAGCUUCGGAGUGAAGCUCUGCUGCUAGCACAGAUGUCGCCAUAGUCUCGAGGCACCGUCUGGCAAGGCGAGAGGCUCUGCUUGUAGCACAGUCGCUACCAUAAUCCCG